Molecule: unclassified non-coding RNA, 195 nt
Filed under: plant metagenome
Description: partial contains small subunit ribosomal RNA, internal transcribed spacer 1, and 5.8S ribosomal RNA
Source: RNAcentral
UCUCCGUUGGUGAACCAGCGGAGGGAUCAUUACCGAGUUUACAACUCCCAAACCCCUGUGAACAUACCAUUUGUUGCCUCGGCGGUGCCUGCUCCGGCAGCCCGCCAGAGGACCCAAACCCUUGAUUUUAUACAGUAUCUUCUGAGUAAAUGAUUAAAUAAAUCAAAACUUUCAACAACGGAUCUCUUGGUUCGG